Aptenodytes forsteri (emperor penguin) is the source of this 1681-nucleotide RNA transcript. It is a transcript of the gene named chromosome unknown C15orf40 homolog, with no coding region annotated. The transcript has 4 exons. The record is from RefSeq and is a predicted model, not a curated record. Lineage: Eukaryota; Metazoa; Chordata; Aves; Sphenisciformes; Spheniscidae.
CGGGACGGCGUUGCCCCCGCGCUGUCGGGCGGCUCGGGGCGCUCCGGUCGCUUCUUCUGAAGGGGGGGGGCGCGGGUGGCCUUUCCCGCCCCGAGGAACAGCCGGCCGUACCUGGGAACGGAGCGGGAAAGCUGGUUUUUCUAACCAACGACUCCUGCAGCUUAUCUCUAUCCCCUCAGCCGUAAAAAAUGAAGGAAAAAAAAGAGAAAAAAUGGUCAGAAAACUAAAGACAGUGGUAAUUUCACACUUUUCUUAAGCCAGGAGGAGCUCUCUCACGUUCCCCUGUAGGUGACGCCAGGUGGUGCAGCGAGCAUGAUGUAAAUUCUUCUUUUUCAAAAUGUUUUUGAAAGGAGUAACGGCAAACGCGCGUGACGAGCGCGUGAUGAGCGCUUCCGUUUGACAGGUGUCGUUCCGUGCCUGCCACUGGCGUCCCAAGAGGUUGUGCGGUUUUAUUCGAACUGUAGAAGUUUGAUGUAAUAAAACGCGUUCUCCCUCUACAAAUCUGGACUUGCUCGUGCACAAAUUGGAACGGCUUUUUGUACGGAUGCGUGUAUGAGCCCAGCACGGCGGACUGUGGCAGAGUAUCCAGGCUCAGUUGGCAGCGCAAGGGAAUUGCUGAUGAUAGCGCGGCUCUCCGGGCAGACUUAUUUAUCGUGGGGUGACCCGAUACGUGUUACGCUACGUGACGCCAAGCUGGACUACGCCUGCAGCAGAACGGGCAACACAGAGGGGGGCCUAGAGCAGCGCCCCGGUUGUGUGAAAACUGGUAGUUCGCGGCUGCACGCCAAUACAGAUGUGACAGCUGAGGCAGUAGGUGUAGCUAUCGCUGCACCUCCGUCAGAAGGGGAGGCAAACGCAGAGCUGUGUCGCUACCUCUCUAAGGUGCUAGAAGUGAAGAAGAGUGAAGUUAUUUUAGAGAAGGGUGGUAAAUCGCGUGAAAAAGUGGUGAAGAUUUUGGUAUCGAUGACGCCAGAUGAGAUUUUAGAAAAACUGAAAAAAGAAGCUUCCGGUUGACCUAAGGCAAGAGCGAGAAAUGGGACAAUGCAUCUUGGUAAAUGGACUGAUAUUCUUUCUUACGUAAAUCUAGUCCUGCUGAGAAUGUGGGUAAUGACUAGGGAAAGAUGCUUCUCUUCCCCCGCCCGCCCUUGUUAAUAUAGCUGCUGUAUAGUUGAAGUUUUUGUGUAGGUUUGGUUAGAAAAACUUGUCUUUACUGAGGCUCCGCAUCUGCUUCUGUCACUACAGACUUUUUUCCCCCUCUGGAGAGUUUCCCGUUGGUAAGAUUUGUCCUCUCCCCUGGUCCCUAAACAAAUGGUUUAGAAAACUUGUUUCUUAGGGAAACAAACUUUGGUUACCAAAGUGAAAGGCUUGGGGUGACAGGCUUCCAUGCGAGAAGAAAAGUGGUACCAAAGGAUGAGUCUGGAUGGUAAAGACCCUAGAAGAAUGUUCUCUUCAAUAUCUAGCGGCAGGCAAGCGAAAAGCAGAAUCACCUGAAUAACUGAAACAAAACCAGAAGUUUGCAGUAUGAAAAACGGAUCCAGAGCCCAGUGGUUGUGUACGCGGUGUCACAUUGUGAUAGUCUGUAAUCCGUUUCCUGAAAAGCAGAGAUACGAUCACGUAUCUUUGCCAAAUGUAUGUCAAGUGUAAUGGCUGUUUUUAAUAAAAGGGGCAAAAACUGUUAUCA